GCGGAUCCGCGGCCGCUGCAGAGUUUGAUCCUGGCUCAGGACGAACGCUGGCGGCGUGCCUAACACAUGCAAGUCGAGCGGGGAAUGCAGCAAUGUAUUCCUAGCGGCGGACGGGUGAGUAACGCGUGGGCAACCUGCCCUGCACAGGGGGAUAACACAGGGAAACUUGUGCUAAUACCGCAUAACAUACUUAUAUGGCAUCAUAUAGGUAUCAAAGGAGCAAUCCGGUGCAGGAUGGGCCCGCGUCCGAUUAGCUAGUUGGUAGGGUAACGGCCUACCAAGGCGACGAUCGGUAGCCGAACUGAGAGGUUGGUCGGCCACAUUGGGACUGAGACACGGCCCAGACUCCUACGGGAGGCAGCAGUGGGGAAUAUUGCGCAAUGGGGGGAACCUGACGCAGCAACGCGCGUGGAGGAAGAAGGUCUUCGGAUUGUAAACUCCUUUGAUGAGGGACGAAGGAAGUGACGGUACCUCAGGAACAAGCCACGGCUAACUACGUGCCAGCAGCCGCGGUAAUACGUAGGUGGCGAGCGUUGUCCCGAAUUAUUUGGCGUAAAGGAUGCGUAGGUGGUAGUUUAAGUGGGAUGUGAAAUCCCUGGGCUUAACCA
RNAcentral lists this ribosomal RNA (608 nucleotides) under uncultured bacterium. RNAcentral's name for it is "partial 16S ribosomal RNA". It matches the Rfam family "Bacterial small subunit ribosomal RNA", at positions 1 to 615 of the family's 1533-position model. The record is from RNAcentral.